Molecule: ribosomal RNA, 352 nt
Filed under: Allobaccha sapphirina
Lineage: Eukaryota; Metazoa; Arthropoda; Insecta; Diptera; Syrphidae
Also listed under: 1 other name
Description: SSU rRNA
Rfam family: Eukaryotic small subunit ribosomal RNA
Source: RNAcentral
CGUUCGUAGUUGAAUUUGUGCUUCAUACGGGUAGUACAACUACAAUUGUGGAUUGUACAUUACCUUAUGUAUGCAAGCGUAUUAUCGGUGGAGUUCUAAUAUAUAAUGGUACUUGUAUCAUUAUAUAUACCUCCUAUUUAAACCUGCUUCAGUGCUCUUCAUCGAGUGCUGUUGUGGGCCGAUACAAUUACUUUGAACAAAUUAGAGUGCUUAAAGCAGGCUCCAAAUGCCUGAAUAUUCUGUGCAUGGAAUAAUGAAAUAAGACUUCUGAUCUACUUUCAUUGGUUUUUAGAUCAAGAGGUAAUGAUUAAUAGAAGCAGUUUGGGGACAUUAGUAUUACGACGCGAGAGGU